This 279-nucleotide ribosomal RNA is filed under the name uncultured bacterium. Its description in RNAcentral is "partial 16S ribosomal RNA". It matches the Rfam family "Bacterial small subunit ribosomal RNA", at positions 506 to 784 of the family's 1533-position model. The record is from RNAcentral.
UGCCAGCAGCCGCGGUAAUACGGAGGGGGCGAGCGUUAUUCGGAAUUACUGGGCGUAAAGGGUGCGUAGGCGGCCCAUCAAGUUAGACGUGAAAGCCCCGGGCUCAACCUGGGAAUUGCGUUUAAUACUGGUGAGCUAGAGUACGAGAGAGGAAAGUGGAAUUCCAAGUGUAGAGGUGAAAUUCGUAGAUAUUAGGAAGAACACCAGUGGCGAAGGCGACUUUCUGGCUCGUAACUGACGCUGAGGCACGAAAAUGUGGGGAGCAAACAGGAUUAGAUA